GCCGAAAUAGCUCAGUUGGGAGAGCGUUAGACUGAAGAUCUAAAGAUUCCUGUUUCAACACCGGGUUUCAGUA
Callorhinchus milii (elephant shark) is the source of this 73-nucleotide non-coding RNA. The record is from the annotation of a RefSeq genome assembly. Lineage: Eukaryota; Metazoa; Chordata; Chondrichthyes; Chimaeriformes; Callorhinchidae.